Long non-coding RNA from Alligator mississippiensis (American alligator), 1100 nucleotides. RefSeq lists it as uncharacterized. The record is from RefSeq and is a predicted model, not a curated record. The transcript is spliced from 3 exons. NCBI's taxonomy places the organism in Eukaryota, Metazoa, Chordata, Crocodylia, Alligatoridae.
CUCGCUGAACCAAGAGCUCUGCAUUUUUGCAUUUCUUUUUGUCUCAGACCAACACGGCUACUAAAUACAUCCCUGACACAUCUGUACAGUACAGACACUCACCUAUACAUCUGCACAUACACACACGCACGUCACAGACGUUUAUUCGCACCUGUACAGACACACGCUCACCCAUACGCGCGCACACACACACGUGCACUCAUCCAUACUUGCACACGCACGCACGCAGUCCCCGGCAACCCCCGCGAUCCCGGCCCGGCCCGGGCAGCUCGGGCCGCGGCCCCGCGCGGAGAAGCCGCAGCCGCGGAGCGGGGCCGGGCUGGGCGGAGCGGGCUCGGUGCGGCCGGGCGAGGGGGCGCUGUCUGCCCGGAGAAGCGCGUCGAGGCUGGCGCCCGGCUCGGCUCGGCUCGGCUCUACCCUGGCUCCUCGGGCCAGGCGGCCGCGGGAGCGCAGAGUCGGCUCCCGCCUGCUCCGGGGCAGGGGCGGACACACGGCCCGGCGGGGCCCGGCUUGUGGAGGAAGCAGCCCGCCAGCCCUAAUCCGGAACCAGGUGCAGAGAUACAGAUUCUUUAGCUCUUAAGGUGGAUCUAAAAGGAGAAUUGCUUGUAUGAGGCUGAUCCUGAGACCAUUUCGGAGGACAUUUACUUGGACCAGCAGUCUUUAAAUAGAGAUGCUUGUGUACAGAAUCAGGGAGACAACCCAGCCAAACCAAUGUGCGGCACAGAAUCAGAAAUCUUCCUUUAUUCAACAAGAAGUACAGUAAAUACAUCCAGGGAAUCGGAUCCGGGCUUCUUCCCAAACUAGAAUUCCCACCGGGAACUGAUGAACCAUCUGCCUACUCUGGUGCCAUCUCCCUAAAAGCAGGAAAAUGUUGAAUGUGUCACAUAAUAGCUUCUACCACUUCUUAGCUUCUGUGUGCAACUGUCCUAUCUACUCGAGAGAGAGAGAAAUUCUUCCUCAGCUUUGCUGGCUGUCAGUUUAUGCCUUGGAGCAGAACAGCCCUUGUAGUUUUUAUUCUUGUUCUUGUAAAAUGAAGAUGGCAUUCAAAUAAAAUGUCCAAUCCUUUUUCAGCUCGCUAAACUAUUUAUUUAAUACUUUUC